This is a long non-coding RNA of Oncorhynchus gorbuscha (pink salmon), 4019 nucleotides long. RefSeq lists it as uncharacterized. The record is from RefSeq and is a predicted model, not a curated record. Lineage: Eukaryota; Metazoa; Chordata; Actinopteri; Salmoniformes; Salmonidae. The transcript has 2 exons.
UAUUCUCACUCUGAAUAAAUCUGUCGCUUGUCGUACAAUCUACCACCUUGUCUGAAUCGAUCCUUAACCGGCUCACCCUUCUACAUAUCCUUUUAUCAACAGAAUUUGGUAGCAGAGGAUGGUUUAAUAACGGUCCGGUCGAAGAGAGUUGAUUGGGUGUGAGAAGGAGAGUGACGGAAGGACGGUUGUAGGAAGACGGGUGAAGGAAUUCGGGGGAGGACAACAAUUCUGCUCAACUCGGGAAACUGAUCUAAAAGGUGCACUAUAAACAAGGUAAGCAAAACCUGUUAAAUCAAACUUUGCAUAUUGUCGUAUAGUCUGUCUAAAUUUUGAUCAGUAUUUCCGAGUAAGUAUGAAUUCUUGUGUAAAUUUAUAAUUUGCUGACAAGUUGAAAGUACAGUGAAGUGAACAUAUGUGGUACAAACCGGCGACGGCCGGGUGAUUAAAUCAUUGAUGAGAUAUCAGUAAGGGGGUAGUUAAUUACUAUUCAUUAAAUCUGGCGCCGAGGGGAUAAAUUGUAAUUUUGUCCCGUGACCCGGUCAGCACAGUCUGAUAGCUUUCAAUGAUGAGGUAUCACUUUUGAGGCCUGGAUUAGUUCCGAUAGGGGUCAAUAACAGAUCAGUAAGUGAAUAGUUAAUUACUAUUCAUUAAACCUGGCGCCGAGGGGACAAAUUGUAAUUUUGUACCGAGACUCGGUCGAAGUCCAGUCUGAUGGUGUUGAUUGAUAGGGGUCGGACACGGACAUGGAUUUGGAUAAGAUAAGUUCCGAUAGGGGUUAAUAACAUGUCAGUAAGUGAAUAGUUAAUUACUAUUCAUUAAACCUGGCGCCGAGGGGACAAAUUGUAAUUUUGUUCCGAGACUCGGUCGAAGUCCAGUCUGAUGGUGUUGAUUGAUAGGGUCGGACAUGGAUUUGGAUUCAGCACGGUAGAGAUUAGGGAUAAAAAUCAGUAAGGGGAUAGUUAAUUACUAUUCAUUAAACCUGGCGCCGAUAGGGGAAAAGAUUGGCAACUUUGUCCCGCGACUCGGUCGAAGUCCAGUCUGAUAAGUAGUCCAAAAGAUAGGCUGAUAAUGUUUAGAGAGAACACGUGUAUUUGUAACUGUUCAUAUAAAAUGUAAUGUGGUUGUAAUCAUCUCCAUCAAGAUUGUUGAUGGUUUGAGAGAGAGAGAGAACUCAAGAAGGGUUAUUGGAUAAUCCGAAACUUAUAUGUUGUAUGUAAACUUCCAUGUUGUAUGUAAACUUCCAUGUUGUAUGUAUCUAUAACUUCUGUGUAAAAUGUAUAAUCAGGAACAAAAUGACUUAUGUAUAAUUGAAAUAAGAUCUGAAUAUAAUAAUUAAUAUUGUGACUAUAUAGUCGAAUAGAUCCCUUGGUUGCGCGCUCCACAAAAGCUAUACCAACCCAAUCGUUUUUCUCGAACUGAAUAUUCAAGGGAAAGCUCUGAGAUAAGGCAGAGUGUGAGCAGUAGUGUCUCCUCGAAUACAUCGUUGUUAUUAACUAACGACGGGCUAAGCAUAUUCUAAUUAUAUUAAAGUAGUCUGGUAAAAUUUCCGAUUAAGUUACGAUUAAUUUCCGAUUGAAUUAAAAUUGAAUUACGAUUUAAAAUUCACAAUGGCGACCCCCAAUACUCCAAAGCUGAAGUUUAAUGAGUUCCUAGAUAAAAAAAAAUAGAAUAUAGAUCAGGGGGAAAGAGACAGUGGAAGGAUAUAAAGAAAGUCUGGGAGGGAGUAAAGUUAAGAUGGACGCAAGCAGGUUACCUAGGAGGGGGACGGCCAACCGGGGUCCAGUUGAAAACAAUGGAAUGUGGGUUAAGGGAGACGAUGCAGGAAGCUAGAGACAAGGAAAUAGGAAGAAACAAGGCCCAUUUAUUGAGGAACCAAGGGACCAAACAGAGAGAGAGAGCAGAAGAGGAACUAAAGAUAGGAACUUGGGCCAUAGAAGAAGCGCAGAAAGCACAACUAAAAAAAAAAAUAUCCUGAAAUGAUGGGGGUUGCCACUCCCCCACGAGGGGCAGAUGAACAGACGAGCUACCACCAGGAGAUGGCGCCAAAUCCCUCUACAUGUAUAAUUACUAAAACAUACAAUACAUGACAAACGGUGACCCUGACGUGGUCUGGUAAAAAGAUAUCGCUGGACAUUGGUGUGCCAGCCGAUUGGCCAGUACUGUCGUUGGACGGUGUGUCUCACAAAUCCUGACCGGUCAACUAAAAAAGGGUAAGCAGACACCUGUUGUGGAAAACUAAAGUUCUGCACAUUGGAGUUAUACAAAUUUAGUUUUGUGAGACACCUGUUUGAUGUAAGUUACUAAAUUUAAACUAUUAUGAUGUGUGAGAUUGGAAAAUAGUUGAGAAAGUAAUAUCUCCAUUGGCAACUGCAAUUUUAUUAUUGAUCAACCAUACUUAAUGGUGCAUUGUGUAUGGGAUGUACUAGUAUGCCUGGUUGGUAGGUGGUAACAGAGAUCACUUACCACGUGUAUGAAUGAUGGGUAACGGGUGGCCACCAAAGCUUGAAUGGAUAGUCUGGGACUACAUGUAUGAGUGGUGAGCAACGAGUGAUCGCCAAAGUGCGAAUAGAAAGUCAUAUGAUGCGAACGUGAUGUAUUAGGCAGGGCCAAGUGUGAAUGACGGAUAUUUAAAUUGAUUACUCGGACUUGAGAUCGAUUUAGCCGUAGGGAAAGGGUAUCAUUUGGGUUUCAGUAAAGACAUUGGUUGUUGGCAGUAUUGUAGUGUACAUGGAAUAUCGUUGGAAAUGGAAAAGGUGUAGAGAACGCCGAAGUCCACUCUAGAUUUAAAUAAAGGCAGAGAGGGCAAAGAGUGGAGGAGACUGGGUGAGAAGCUGUACAGAGAAUGGACAGAAGGUGGGGCUAUUGCAUCUCCUACUGGUCUGCUUGCUGGGGAGAAUGAAGAUCUGUGUGUGUCUGGUGUAAAUUGAAGUUUACUGGCGUAAAUGAAGAUUUGUGAGACUCAAAUCGUGUGCAUGAAAUACGUUUGAUAUUCAGUCGGGGACUAAUAUCGGUAUGAAUGAGGUCGGGGAUUUUUAUGAUAAGAAUGUUGAAAAGUAGCAGGCUUGCUGAUGAGAGUAAUAUCAUAGAAUAUUGAGGGGGUGUGCAAGACUGUUGGAAAAGGUGUUCAACUCUAUUAACGUAAAAUUCUGUGUGUAGAGUUAUAUUAUGAAGUUUGGAUUAUACUAAAAUUGUAGAAUUACAUAAUCAACAUCUGAACAUACUUACGAUAAACAUUAAUUGAGCCACUGAGUAAUAGAUAAGAUAUACACUAGGUACGGGGCGACGGGUGUGGUCGAUGUAAGACGGGAGUGGUGUUCUAACCAAGUGAUGAGAAAUAAGGUAGAUUUAUUUUGUUCUUUUAAUUAGUUUACACAAGUACUCCCCGGUUAUUGAUUUUGGUUUGAUUGUUCAGAUAACACAAAUGAAAUUAAACAGGAGGUUAAGAUAGACUAACAUUAGAAUCUGUUUUCAUUAUGGGGUACAAUGAAAGGCCCGCAGAGGGGAUUGCAGACUGAGGUUUUUAUGUUACAGGGACAGUGCACAAUUAUCACAGUUGUGUGUGUGUCUAAUGGCUGGGGAUUUAAGAAGUAUUUUUGGGGAGACAAUUUGGAGAAACAUGAAUAAAACAUGAAACACCAAGACAAAUUAUUUGAGUAUGAGGGGAUUAUCAUAAUUAUUAGGUUUUGUUUUUGUAGUAAACGUCUGGGUUAAGGGGAUUUUCACGCACUGCAAAGACCUUGAAAGUUGGAGAGAAGUGAGGAGAGUUUUGGAAGGGGGGCCAGAACAGGCAAAGAUAGCAGUUGCUGAGUGGAGACAGGGGGGAGAGUUGGACAUGUAGAAAAUGUAGGGGGAGCUCCUACAGGAUAAUGUCAGAACAUAUGGAUACUAUACUAAUCUUACCUAAGUCAUUAUUUAGAGUAGGUAAGGUUGAUACCUGGGCAAAGCCAGAUAUCAAAAGGGGGAUGGGUGUAAAUUGUGGUCUAGGAUAGGAUGGGGACUAUUGGAUAAGAAACUAAUAA